GCUGAAAUAGCUUAGUGAUAAAGCAUAGCUUUAUUAAAGCUGAUAUCAAGGGUUAAUGACAUUUUUUUUAUA
This 72-nucleotide transfer RNA is filed under the name Solanum lycopersicum (tomato). It matches the Rfam family "tRNA". Rfam says of the family: Transfer RNA (tRNA) molecules are approximately 80 nucleotides in length. The record is from Rfam by way of RNAcentral. RNAcentral also lists the same sequence under 1 other name. Lineage: Eukaryota; Viridiplantae; Streptophyta; Magnoliopsida; Solanales; Solanaceae.